UUCAGGCAACCCUUGGCACUCCAUUGUGUGGGGUAGGUGCGGCUGGGAGCCCUUCUCCCCCAGGUUCCACUUGCCCUUCACUGGUGGGAGACCUGGAAGCCCCUUCCUAAUGCCUCCAGGCCUUGGCAGUGAGCUCUCAGUGGGCCCCUGUCUGUGGAAAGCACUCCACCCACAGAACCUGAGACGUUAUCUAGACUGGUUUUCAUUUUACACCUGUGGAAACUGAGUCCCAGAGAGGUGAAACGGCUCGUCCAAGCCACACAGCUCUAGGUGUUGCUGAAGCAGGACUGCACUCUCCUGGCUCCUGGUUCAAAGUGCUUUCCAGAAUUUUCAAAUGGUUCCAAACUCUGUUUUGAUUUGUGCAACCUUGGGCAUGCUAAUUCAGUUCCCUGGGACAGAAAUUUUCAUCCUUGUGAAGAAGAAAUGUUGAGUGUCUACUUUGAGGGACAGCGUGCAUUGUGUGGAUUAUUAGAAAGCAGUGAGGUCCUAACAGGUGCCAGCCAUCUCCUGAGCAGUCACGCUGGAUCACUGUCCCUGGGGGUGGGAGCCACCCUGUUUCAUACCUGCAGGGCCUGCCCCACCCCACCCCUAACCCCUCUGGCAGGUCUGUGGCAGUGAUCUCUCCUCACCUGUUGCGGCCAGCACCUGGGGAGGCCUUGGUGUUUCUCCUGCAACCUGGGUCUGAACUGGCAGCUUGUGUGGUGCACAGACACCGGGGCACCGGGGUAGUAGAAGCAGAGAGGAAAGUCAGAGUUAGCUCCUCAACCACUAUGUUUGGAAAGGCGAGAUCCCCCUCCCAGGAACCUUCACACUCAUCCUGUGUCUCACACACUGUGCCUGUGAAGUUGGUGGGGAAUCUUUGUUGGUUUGUUUUGUUUUUCUUGUGCUGGGGAUAGAACCCAGGACCUUGGGCAUGCCGGGCAAGCCUCCACCACCGAGCUCCACCCCCAUCCCGAGAACUGAAGAAUGAAUUCUAAGGAACAACAGAGGUUAAGAAUAGGGAAGAUUGGGCCGGGGAUUUAGCUCAGUGGUUUCGUCGCCUGCUGCACAAGCGCAAGGACCUGAGUUCGAUCCCCAGUACCAAAAAAAAAAAAAAUAGGGAAGAUUUAUUGAGAGGUAGCUGCUGAGAGACAGGAAGGGGCCUGAAAGUGGCUGCCACUGAGGCCAUUUCUCCAACAGUGUAUUAUAGAGUAAAAUUCUGAGGUGAGUACAACGUGGGUCACACUGUAAUCAGUCAGUAAGAUUACAAGUAUAGCCGAUUAGCUAAUAUUGAUCUGAAAGAGAAGCGGGUCUCAUAGCAGGGGUACAUGGAAAGAACAAAGGCAUUUUUGGGAAGGGAUGGCCCAGAUGCUCGGAUCACCCAGCUGGGCGACUGAUGUCUAUCUGGACUUUACUGGACCAGAUGACACCAAUUAUAGUGCAACUCCUAGUUGCUGUUGGGAGGCAUACAGGCCUGGUCACUGCAUCUUUAUCUUGUGCCUUGGCCUUCUUCAGAUGCACCUCCAGCCACAGUUCUGAUGUCUUUAUUUUUUCUGCUCUCUUCCUUGACAGCCCAGCCCCUCUCUGACUGUAUAUUCAUUUCCAUCUAACUUAGCUGCCUGCAGUAGGAGGCCACCUUAGGUCUUCUCCCAUCUCUUACACACCUGCUCAGUGGCUCUGGUCCAUUUGGUCAUCAGGCAGAUGUGUCCCGGGUCCUUUUACCUGCUGGGCCUGGUGCCCAAGCCUUGUGAUGGAGCCCCAGCCCGCCCAGGGGGUGAGGAAGGCUGUUGCAGGGUGGAGUCCCAGGAAAGCUCCCGGAGGUCUUGGUUUUCUUCUGCUUUCUCACUGUUGGGCCGUCAAGGGGCCUGGAGAGGAGGGGAGCGGUUUGGAACUUGAGAGGGGCUUGCUCCCCUAGAAGGCUGCCGCUCUGCUCCUUAACUUUCCUAGAGGUCACCCCUCCACUUCCCUCCUCUUCCUGCCCCUCCUCUCCAGGUGAGCCUUCAGGCGGCUCUCCUGAUUGAGCUUCUGUUUGCCAGCUACACAGAGUGCUCCGGGGGCACCGGGCAGGAGGAUUUGAGUAGGGAGAGUUAGACCCUGUCCCCUGGCCCUUGCUUCUGCUCCAGAAGUCAGAGGAGGGGAGCUCCCCAGAUCUGGCAUGGAGGAGUGGCCACUGGGAUCUGUCACUCUCAAGCGUGGAUGAGAAGUGCACCUUGGGGCUUAGGACCAGCCGAGUCAGGGAAAGUGGCACCGAACCACUUCUUGUUCCAGGGCCUCCCUGAGUCUGGGGACCAGGCCCUGGAGGGAAGGGCUGGUGGCUGGAGUUGGCAUCAUGGGAGUCCAACCCCACCCUGGGCACCUGGAAUGGGCAGUGGGGGAGACUGAGGCAUGGGGGAUAAGACAGUGGGGCUUAGGAGGACGGGGAACUCCUCAGGUUGGGCUGGGCUGGGAAUGCUAAAAGGUAGGGGUGGCAAGAGUGCUUGGACCCCCAGGACAGAGUGGACUGGAAAAGAGGGGGAGUACGGGCUCCACAACCUAAGAACAGAGGGGCGGUGGGCGGGCGAGCGAGCGAGCGGGCUGCUUCCUUCCCAACUCCUUAACUCCUUUCAAUGAAUACUUCCUUGGCCCAGCCCCCAGUUACCUGGCUGAGGGCCUCCCGGACCGGGGAGGCUGCUCCACAGUUCCGGGGUUGUGGGAGGAUGGGGAAAUUCCUCUCCCCGCCUUAGAAGGUCUUGCUCCUGCUAGAGAGAACUGAGGAGCCUGGGGAAGGCAGGUGCCAUGACUGAUGGACGCUGGAGAGCUGCAAUUAAUUUUAAACAAGGUUGCCUGGACUUGGAGAACAAGGGCAGGUCAUGGGUGAGGCUGGGCUGCCAAAGUCUCUGUUUGCCCAGGGAGGACCUGGUCCCUUGAGUACUCACAGCAGGUGAGUGUCCGGCCUCCCACACUGAGGGUGGGGAGUGGAGUGGGCUGGAUGCCUUUGCCCCAGAACCCCUCCCUCCAGGCUGCGCAGCCCCACCCUGGGGUCUCUCCUUUCCCUCAGGGACCCUGGGAGAUGUGGCAGUGGGGAAAGGUCACCUUGAACCCAGGGCAGGCCAGCUCAGACUAAGGUCUGGUCCCGGAACCUCCCUCUUGGGACGGUGGGUCCCAGAGACCCUCCCCUUUCCAAAGGGUGGGGAUUUGGGGAGAAGUCCCCUCUGCUGGUCUAGGGACUGCCAAGCCGCACAAGGUGGCCCUGGAACACCUGCAGCUGCUUUGUAAUCCUCAGGGCCCCUGGGCUGAGUGCUCCUUGGAAAGAUAAAGAAGUGCAGGUGCCUGCCUCUGCUUGAGAUGCUUCGGUUGGCCUCGGAUGAGUGAGGGGUGGUGUCGAGGGGCACCAGAGCCAGCCCUUGGCCUCUGUGGUCCGUGCAGAGGACCAGCUGGUGUUCGGCAUGCCUGGGAUGAGGGGGAGGAAGAGGAAGGCUCCGCAGCUCUGAGUGGUGCGAAGUUCUGUCCUCCGCUGUCCCUCCUCUUUUUCCUCUACCUCCUCCCCUCCUCCUUCGCUCCUCCUCUUCUCCUCUACUUUAUUUUAGUUUUGGGUUCUUGAAGCGGGGUCUCAGUGUAGCCCUGCUGGCCUCCAGCCCCAUCCCUCUGCCUCCGUCUCCAAGUGCUUGAGUGAUUACGGGCCUGGGCCACCAUGCCGACCCUUCCCCACCUCUUCUGAUAGUUGACUUGAUUUUCCCUGGUUUGUUUUUCAUUUUUGUUUCUGUGUUUUUGUACUGACAAUUGAACUCGGCCCAGCACCUUUACACUAAGGUAUAUUCCCAGCUGUAAAAAAUUGUUUUUUAACUUUCAUCUUGAGACAGUCUCACUGGGCAGCUAAGUUACGAAGAAGGCCGUGCUGGGAUUUACAGUCCUCUUGCCUCAGCCUCCUACAGCGCCGAGAUGACGGAUGUGCACCAUCACACCCGGCUGAGUUUCCCUUUCGUAGUCGCCUCUCAGCAGAGCUCACUGCAGUGGGAGCCGCUGUCAGGAAGCGAGACCCGGAGGCCGCUGCUGGGCCCAGCAGUGUGGGCUUUGCUGCCUGUGCGGACCUCUCUGCCGAGAAUGGAAGCCUGUGGGGAUGUGGGGCAACGGAAAGGCCGCCCAGGACGUGGCGGGGUCAUUGGCUGGGCGGUGCAGUUUGAAGCCCCUGUGAGACCCGGACCUGGGACUCCCCCACUGCUCUGAGAGAGUUGCAGUGGCCUGUGGGGAACCCUCUUCCCCCCUGAAUGCUGGGCUCGGGGAGAAGCUCUCAGGGGAGGUCUUCAGACCUAGGUCACCAAGGGUUUCAGGGACAGAUUGAACCCAGCCUGGCAGAGUGCAGCGUUUUCCUCCCUUCGCCUCUGUCCCUGCCCUGGGCUGGGGGUUGUGGCACAACAGCUCAGGAGCAGGAGGUGGGAGUCGGAAUCGGAAGUGUCACUCGCAGCAAAGGGGAACUGAGCCAGGCCGGGCAGAGGCCUCUGGAUAGCCAGGCCUGCGCAACAGGGGAUUUAGUCGGUUAGAUUUUGGCUUUCCCUACUCACAGGCGAGGGCAAUUGCAGAGAUAUUCCAGUGCAGAAAGUAGCUGGCAUCUGUUUGGUUCUGGGGUGUGCUGAGGUUUAAAAGUCAUAUUUACCUCAUUAAUUAUGUCAGCCUUCAGCUAAUAUUAACCUGCAUUUCCUGACUGGGCAGCCAGGGGUGGCACCGAGGGGC
Molecule: long non-coding RNA, 4686 nt
Filed under: Heterocephalus glaber (naked mole-rat)
Lineage: Eukaryota; Metazoa; Chordata; Mammalia; Rodentia; Bathyergidae
Description: lncRNA (ENSHGLG00000034613.1)
Source: RNAcentral